RNAcentral lists this ribosomal RNA (556 nucleotides) under uncultured Neisseriaceae bacterium. RNAcentral describes it as "bacterial SSU rRNA". It matches the Rfam family "Bacterial small subunit ribosomal RNA", at positions 28 to 576 of the family's 1533-position model. The record is from RNAcentral. Lineage: Bacteria; Pseudomonadati; Pseudomonadota; Betaproteobacteria; Neisseriales; Neisseriaceae.
AUUGAACGCUGGCGGCAUGCUUUAUACAUGCAAGUCGGACGGCAGCGGGGUAGUGCUUGCACUACUGCCGGCGAGUGGCGAACGGGUGAGUAAUAUAUUGGAACGUACCGAGUAAUGGGGGAUAACCAAUCGAAAGGUUGGCUAAUACCGCAUACGCUCUGAGGAGGAAAGCAGGGGACCUUCGGGCCUUGCGUUAUUCGAGCGGCCAAUAUCUGAUUAGCUAGUUGGUGGGGUAAAGGCCUACCAAGGCGACGAUCAGUAGCGGGUCUGAGAGGAUGAUCCGCCACACUGGGACUGAGACACGGCCCAGACUCCUACGGGAGGCAGCAGUGGGGAAUUUUGGACAAUGGGCGCAAGCCUGAUCCAGCCAUGCCGCGUGUCUGAAGAAGGCCUUCGGGUUGUAAAGGACUUUUGUUAGGGAAGAAAAAAGAGCGGUUAAUACCCGUUUCUGCUGACGGUUACCUAAAGAAUAAGCACCGGCUAACUACGUGCCACCACCCGCCGGUAAUAUGUAGGGUGUGAGCGUUAAUCGGAAUUCCUGGGCGUUAAGCCAAGC